CAGCGCCGCGGGAAUACGUAGGUGGCAAGCGUUGUCCGGAAUUAUUGGGCGUAAAGGGCUCGCAGGCGGUUUCUUAAGUCUGAUGUGAAAGCCCCCGGCUCAACCGGGGAGGGUCAUUGGAAACUGGGAAACUUGAGUGCAGAAGAGGAGAGUGGAAUUCCACGUGUAGCGGUGAAAUGCGUAGAGAUGUGGAGGGACACCAGUGGCGAAGGCGACUCUCUGGUCUGUAACUGACGCUGAGGAGCGAAAGCGUGGGGAGCGAACAGGAUUAGAUACCCGUGUAGUCCCUGUCUCUUAUACA
This 301-nucleotide ribosomal RNA is filed under the name uncultured bacterium. Its description in RNAcentral is "partial 16S ribosomal RNA". It matches the Rfam family "Bacterial small subunit ribosomal RNA", at positions 509 to 808 of the family's 1533-position model. The record is from RNAcentral.